Molecule: ribosomal RNA, 346 nt
Filed under: uncultured eukaryote
Lineage: Eukaryota
Description: SSU rRNA
Rfam family: Eukaryotic small subunit ribosomal RNA
Source: RNAcentral
AUAGCGUAUAUUAAAGUUGUUGCAGUUAAAAAGCUCGUAGUUGAAUUUUAGGCCUGGUUGGACGUUCUGCUCUAGGGUUUGUACUGUCCUGACUGGGUCUUACCUUCUGGUGAGCUGUCGUAUUGUUUACUCAGUGCGGCAGGGAACCAGGACUUUUACUUUGAAAAAAUUAGAGUGUUUAAAGCAGGCAUUCGCUUGAAUACAUUAGCAUGGAAUAAUAGAAUAGGACUUUGGUUCUAUUUUGUUGGUUUCUAGGACCGAAGUAAUGAUUAAUAGGGAUAGUUGGGGGCAUUAGUAUUUAAUUGUCAGAGGUGAAAUUCUUGGAUUUAUUAAAGACUAACUUCUG